Molecule: ribosomal RNA, 2926 nt
Filed under: Enterobacter hormaechei
Lineage: Bacteria; Pseudomonadati; Pseudomonadota; Gammaproteobacteria; Enterobacterales; Enterobacteriaceae
Description: 23S ribosomal RNA
Rfam family: Bacterial large subunit ribosomal RNA
Source: RNAcentral
GGGUUGUGAGGUUAAGCGACUAAGCGUACACGGUGGAUGCCCUGGCAGUCAGAGGCGAUGAAGGACGUGCUAAUCUGCGAAAAGCGCCGGCGAGGUGAUAUGAACCCUUGACCCGGCGAUGUCCGAAUGGGGAAACCCAGUGCAAUCCGUUGCACUAUCGUUAACUGAAUACAUAGGUUAACGAGGCGAACCGGGGGAACUGAAACAUCUAAGUACCCCGAGGAAAAGAAAUCAACCGAGAUUCCCCCAGUAGCGGCGAGCGAACGGGGAGCAGCCCGGAGUCUGAAUCAGUUUGUGUGUUAGUGGAACGGUCUGGAAAGUCCGACGGUACAGGGUGAUAGUCCCGUACACGAAAGCACACUUGCUGUGAACUCGAAGAGUAGGGCGGGACACGUGGUAUCCUGUCUGAAUAUGGGGGGACCAUCCUCCAAGGCUAAAUACUCCUGACUGACCGAUAGUGAACCAGUACCGUGAGGGAAAGGCGAAAAGAACCCCGGCGAGGGGAGUGAAAAAGAACCUGAAACCGUGUACGUACAAGCAGUGGGAGCACCUUCGUGGUGUGACUGCGUACCUUUUGUAUAAUGGGUCAGCGACUUAUAUUCUGUAGCAAGGUUAACCGUAUAGGGGAGCCGAAGGGAAACCGAGUCUUAACUGGGCGUUAAGUUGCAGGGUAUAGACCCGAAACCCGGUGAUCUAGCCAUGGGCAGGUUGAAGGUUGGGUAACACUAACUGGAGGACCGAACCGACUAAUGUUGAAAAAUUAGCGGAUGACCUGUGGCUGGGGGUGAAAGGCCAAUCAAACCGGGAGAUAGCUGGUUCUCCCCGAAAGCUAUUUAGGUAGCGCCUCGUGAACUCAUCUUCGGGGGUAGAGCACUGUUUCGGCUAGGGGGCCAUCCCGGCUUACCAACCCGAUGCAAACUACGAAUACCGAAGAAUGUUAUCACGGGAGACACACGGCGGGUGCUAACGUCCGUCGUGAAGAGGGAAACAACCCAGACCGCCAGCUAAGGUCCCAAAGUCAUGGUUAAGUGGGAAACGAUGUGGGAAGGCACAGACAGCCAGGAUGUUGGCUUAGAAGCAGCCAUCAUUUAAAGAAAGCGUAAUAGCUCACUGGUCGAGUCGGCCUGCGCGGAAGAUGUAACGGGGCUAAACCAUGCACCGAAGCUGCGGCAGCGACACUAUGUGUUGUUGGGUAGGGGAGCGUUCUGUAAGCCGUUGAAGGUGUGCUGUGAGGCAUGCUGGAGGUAUCAGAAGUGCGAAUGCUGACAUAAGUAACGAUAAAGCGGGUGAAAAGCCCGCUCGCCGGAAGACCAAGGGUUCCUGUCCAACGUUAAUCGGGGCAGGGUGAGUCGACCCCUAAGGCGAGGCCGAAAGGCGUAGUCGAUGGGAAACAGGUUAAUAUUCCUGUACUUGGUGUUACUGCGAAGGGGGGACGGAGAAGGCUAUGUCAGCCGGGCGACGGUUGUCCCGGUUUAAGCAUGUAGGCGGAGGUUCCAGGUAAAUCCGGUACCUUAUUAACGCUGAGGUGUGAUGACGAGGCACUACGGUGCUGAAGUGAUAAAUGCCCUGCUUCCAGGAAAAGCCUCUAAGCAUCAGGUAACACGAAAUCGUACCCCAAACCGACACAGGUGGUCAGGUAGAGAAUACCAAGGCGCUUGAGAGAACUCGGGUGAAGGAACUAGGCAAAAUGGUGCCGUAACUUCGGGAGAAGGCACGCUGAUGUGUAGGUGAAGUCCCUGCGGACGGAGCUGAAAUCAGUCGAAGAUACCAGCUGGCUGCAACUGUUUAUUAAAAACACAGCACUGUGCAAACACGAAAGUGGACGUAUACGGUGUGACGCCUGCCCGGUGCCGGAAGGUUAAUUGAUGGGGUUAGCUGUAAGGCGAAGCUCUUGAUCGAAGCCCCGGUAAACGGCGGCCGUAACUAUAACGGUCCUAAGGUAGCGAAAUUCCUUGUCGGGUAAGUUCCGACCUGCACGAAUGGCGUAAUGAUGGCCAGGCUGUCUCCACCCGAGACUCAGUGAAAUUGAACUCGCUGUGAAGAUGCAGUGUACCCGCGGCAAGACGGAAAGACCCCGUGAACCUUUACUAUAGCUUGACACUGAACACUGGUCCUUGAUGUGUAGGAUAGGUGGGAGGCUUUGAAGCGUGGACGCCAGUCUGCGUGGAGCCGCCCUUGAAAUACCACCCUUUAAUGGCUGGUGUUCUAACGUAGACCCGUAAUCCGGGUUGCGGACAGUGUCUGGUGGGUAGUUUGACUGGGGCGGUCUCCUCCCAAAGAGUAACGGAGGAGCACGAAGGUUGGCUAAUCCUGGUCGGACAUCAGGAGGUUAGUGCAAUGGCAUAAGCCAGCUUGACUGCGAGCGUGACGGCGCGAGCAGGUGCGAAAGCAGGUCAUAGUGAUCCGGUGGUUCUGAAUGGAAGGGCCAUCGCUCAACGGAUAAAAGGUACUCCGGGGAUAACAGGCUGAUACCGCCCAAGAGUUCAUAUCGACGGCGGUGUUUGGCACCUCGAUGUCGGCUCAUCACAUCCUGGGGCUGAAGUAGGUCCCAAGGGUAUGGCUGUUCGCCAUUUAAAGUGGUACGCGAGCUGGGUUUAGAACGUCGUGAGACAGUUCGGUCCCUAUCUGCCGUGGGCGCUGGAGAAUUGAGGGGGGCUGCUCCUAGUACGAGAGGACCGGAGUGGACGCAUCACUGGUGUUCGGGUUGUCAUGCCAAUGGCACUGCCCGGUAGCUAAAUGCGGAAGAGAUAAGUGCUGAAAGCAUCUAAGCACGAAACUUGCCCCGAGAUGAGUUCUCCCUGAGACUUUAAGUCUCCUGAAGGAACGUUGAAGACGACGACGUUGAUAGGUCGGGUGUGUAAGCGCAGCGAUGCGUUGAGCUAACCGAUACUAAUGAACCGUGAGGCUUAACCUUACAACGCCGAAG